AUAUCAAUAAGCGGAGGAAAAGAAACUAACAAGGAUUCCCCUAGUAACGGCGAGCGAACCGGGAAUAGCCCAACUUGAAAAUCUCCCUUUGGAGAAUUGUAGUCUAGAGAAGCGCUUUCUAGGGCUGGCGGAACUCAAGUCGGAUCGAAUGCCGCGUCAGAGAGGGUGAUAACCCCGUCGGUUCCUGCCUAGUCCUUCCACGAAGUGCUUUCCACGAGUCGGGUUGUUUGGGAAUGCAGCCCUAAUUUGGAGGUAAAUCCCUUCUAAGGCUAAAUACUGCCGAGAGACCGAUAGCGAACAAGUACCGUGAGGGAAAGAUGAAAAGAACUUUGAAAAGAGAGUUAAAAGUGCUUGAAAUUGUUGAGAGGGAAGCGAUUGGCGCUCGUAGGUGCGCCCAGGCUUAAGCGGUCCUAACGGCCCGUUGAAUGUGCUGGGUGCUGGUCAGAAUGGGUUGAGUUGGCGGGACAAAAGCUGGGUCCACCCAGGUAACCCGGCCGAUGCCGCCGACUCGACCAAGGCGUAAAGAGUACCUUGUCCUUCGGGAUCUGUGCUCUAAAGAUUCUGGCAGAAGAGCGUCAAUCGACCCGUCUUGAAACACGGACCAAGGANUCUAACAUGUAUGCGAGUUGGCGGGUGGAAAACCCGUAAGCGCAAGUAACCUGACUGGUGGGAUGGGGUAAAACCCUGCACCAUCGACCGACCAUGUUGUUUCUACGAAAGGUUUGAGUGCGAGCAUACCUGUUGGGACCCGAAAGAUGGUGAACUAUGCCUGAACAGGGUGAAGCCAGAGGAAACUCUGGUGGAGGCUCGUAGAUGUGCUGACGUGCAAAUCGCUUUUCAGACUUGGGUAUAGGGGCGAAAGACUAAUCGAACCAUCUAGUAGCUGGUUCCCUCCGAAGUUUCCCCCAGGAUAGCUGGAACUUGAUCAGUUUUAUCGGGUAAAGCGAAUGAUUAGAGGUUCGGGGGAUGAAACAUCCUUCACCUAUUCUCAAACUUUAAAUAGGUAAGACGUGUCGGUUGCUUAAUUGAACCGGCACAUUCAAUGUGAGCUCCAAGUGGGCCAUUUUUGGUAAGCAGAACUGGCGAUGCGGGAUGAACCGAUAGUCGAGUUAAGGUGCCAAACUACGCGCUAACCUAGAUCCCACAAAGGGUGUUGAUUGAUAUAAACAGCAGGACGGUGGUCAUGGAAGUCGAAAUCCGCUAAGGAGUGUGUAACAACUCACCUGCCGAAUCAAUUAGCCCCGAAAAUGGAUGGCGCUUAAGCGCGUGACCUAUACUCGGCCAUGGAAGCAAGUGCGACGCUUCCAUGAGUAGGAGGGCGUGGGUGUCGAGACUAAGCCUCUGGCGUGAGCCUGGGUGAAUCGGCAUCUAGUGCAGAUCUUGGUGGUAGUAACAAAUAUUCAAAUGAGAACUUUGAAGACUGAAGUGGAGAAAGGUCCAUGUGAACAGCAAUUGGACAUGGGUUAGUCCAUCCUAAGAGAUGGGGUAAUCCUGUGUGAAGAGCGCGAUUCGCGCUGCCCAUCNAAAGGGAAAAGGGUUAAGAUUCCCUUACUUGGACAAGGCGGCUGGCGGUAACGCAAGCGANCCCGGAGACAUCGGCAUCGGCCCUGGGAAGAGUUCUCUUUUCUUUUUAACAACGCGAAGGCCCUGGAAUCGAAUCAUUCGGAGAUAGGGCUCAGACGUUGGUAAAGCACCGCACUUCUCGCGGUGUCCGGCGCGCCGUUGACGGUCCUUGAAAAUCCGGGGGAGCAUUCCCGAUCUUGCCAAGUCGUACUCAUAACCGCAUCAGGUCUCCAAGGUGAACAGCCUCUAGUCGAUAGAACAAUGUAGAUAAGGGAAGUCGGCAAAAUGGAUCCGUAACUUCGGGAAAAGGAUUGGCUCUGANGGCUGGGCCUAGGGGUCUGCAGCUGCGAANCUCGGGACUGCGGUGGUCUACCCAGCUGGAAACGGCUGGGCGGACUGCUGCGUGUCCUGGGUGGACGGCUGUAGAAGCUUCGGCGUUCCCUAGGCGACGAACAGCCAACUCAGAACUGGUACGGACAAGGGGAAUCCGACUGUUUAAUUAAAACAAAGCAUUGUGAUGGUCCUAAAGGAUGUUGACACAAUGUGAUUUCUGCCCAGUGCUCUGA
This 2129-nucleotide ribosomal RNA is filed under the name Chlamydomonas reinhardtii. Its description in RNAcentral is "eukaryotic LSU rRNA". It matches the Rfam family "Eukaryotic large subunit ribosomal RNA", at positions 40 to 2213 of the family's 3401-position model. Lineage: Eukaryota; Viridiplantae; Chlorophyta; Chlorophyceae; Chlamydomonadales; Chlamydomonadaceae. The record is from RNAcentral.